CCCCCCUCCCUCGGACAGAGACCCGAACGAGAAGAGAUGCCCUGUUGAAAUGUUCACUAUCUGUCUCAGUAAAAGCCCCGUGCAGCUUGUCGACUUCGAGUCUGCUGUAUCCUUGCAACUCAUCUGUAUGAAGCCCUGUGCAGCCUGUCGACUUCGAGUCUGCUGCAUCCUUGUAGCCCACCUGUGCUGAGAGAAGUGACUGUCCCUCUGUCACGAACCUGAGGCUGGCACGCUCUGUCUGAAAUAUCCACUCUGUCUGUGUCAGAAGAAGCCCCGUUCAGCCCGUUGACUUCGAGUCUGCUGUAUCCCUGCAAUUCAUCUGUAUUGUGAGAAGUGUUCGUUCCUUCCAACGCAUGUGGACUGUAUACUUUGCCUGAAGCAUCCAUUCGGUCUGUCUCAGUAGAAGCCCUGUGCAGCCUGUCGACUUCGAGUCUGCUGCAUCCUUGUAGCCCACCUGUGCUGAGAGAAGUGACUGUCCCUCUGUCACGAACGUGAGGCUGGCACGCUCUGUCUGGAAUAUCCACUCUGUCGGUGUCAGG
Carassius carassius (crucian carp) is the source of this 539-nucleotide long non-coding RNA. RefSeq lists it as uncharacterized. NCBI's taxonomy places the organism in Eukaryota, Metazoa, Chordata, Actinopteri, Cypriniformes, Cyprinidae. The record is from RefSeq and is a predicted model, not a curated record. The transcript has 3 exons.